This 71-nucleotide transfer RNA is filed under the name Pseudomonadota bacterium. RNAcentral describes it as "tRNA-Pro". It matches the Rfam family "tRNA". Rfam says of the family: Transfer RNA (tRNA) molecules are approximately 80 nucleotides in length. Their secondary structure includes four short double-helical elements and three loops (D, anti-codon, and T loops). RNAcentral also lists the same sequence under 2 other names. The record is from RNAcentral. Lineage: Bacteria; Pseudomonadati; Pseudomonadota.
CGGGCUGUAGGAUAACGGUAGUCCGCUGCCUUGGGGUGGCAGUAGACCGGGUUCAACUCCCGGCAGCCCGA